AUUGAACGCUGGCGGCAGGCCUAACACAUGCAAGUCGAACGGUAACAGGAAGCAGCUUGCUGCUUUGCUGACGAGUGGCGGACGGGUGAGUAAUGUCUGGGAAACUGCCUGAUGGAGGGGGAUAACGACUGGAAACGGUAGCUAAUACCGCAUAACGUCGCAAGACCAAAGAGGGGGACCUUCGGGCCUCUUGCCAUCGGAUGUGCCCAGAUGGGAUUAGCUAGUAGGUGGGGUAACGGCUCACCUAGGCGACGAUCCCUAGCUGGUCUGAGAGGAUGACCAGCCACACUGGAACUGAGACACGGUCCAGACUCCUACGGGAGGCAGCAGUGGGGAAUAUUGCACGAUGGGCGCAAGCCUGAUGCAGCCAUGCCGCGUGUAUGAAGAAGGCCUUCGGGUUGUAAAGUACUUUCAGCGGGGAGGAAGGGAGUAAAGUUAAUACCUUUGCUCAUUGACGUUACCCGCAGAAGAAGCACCGGCUAACUCCGUG
RNAcentral lists this ribosomal RNA (490 nucleotides) under uncultured bacterium. Its description in RNAcentral is "partial 16S ribosomal RNA". It matches the Rfam family "Bacterial small subunit ribosomal RNA", at positions 30 to 507 of the family's 1533-position model. The record is from RNAcentral.